CGCUAUCACUCCUACGGGGAGGCAGCAUAGGGAAUCUUCCACAAUGGGCGCAAGCCUGAUGGAGCAACACCGCGUGAGUGAAGAAGGGUUUCGGCUCGUAAAGCUCUGUUGUUUAAAGAAGAACACGUAUGAGAGUAACUGUUCAUACGUUGACGGUAUUUAACCAGAAAGUCACGGCUAACUACGUGCCAGCAGCCGCGGUAAUACGUAGGUGGCAAGCGUUAUCCGGAUUUAUUGGGCGUAAGAGAGUGCAGGCGGUUUUCUAAGUCUGAUGUGAAAGCCUUCGGCUUAACCGGAGAAGUGCAUCGGAAACUGGAUAACUUGAGUGCAGAAGAGGGUAGUGGAACUCCAUGUGUAGCGGUGGAAUGCGUAGAUAUAUGGAAGAACACCAGUGGCGAAGGCGGCUACCUGGUCUGCAACUGACGCUGAGACUCGAAAGCAUGGGUAGCGAACAGGAUUAGAUACCCUGGUAG
This 473-nucleotide ribosomal RNA is filed under the name uncultured bacterium. RNAcentral's name for it is "bacterial SSU rRNA". It matches the Rfam family "Bacterial small subunit ribosomal RNA", at positions 328 to 793 of the family's 1533-position model. The record is from RNAcentral.